UGUCCCUAGAAAACAUUUAUAGCUGUUGUAUAAGGAUAUUGUAGUUUAUCUUAGUAGGAAAUAGUGUGAUGUUUUCUCUAUUCAAAUUCUAACAUUUCGAACCUCAAACAGGUGGGUUCGUUUGGGAAGGAUCUUGAGCUGUUAGACUCACCUGGAAUUUUGCCAAUGAGAAUUAGAGACCAGACAGCUGCACUUAAGCUUGCUAAGCUACCCAUUUAUUCCUUCUAUUCGUUGAUUAUAGGAACAACACAUGCGUUCAUCAUACAAACCUGCAGCUUAUGUGCGAUAGGAUGGACUCGACAUAAAAAAAGUUUCUCUUCGGCUGCUCUGAUUUUGAGCCAAGACCCUUGGGAGUUUGUCUGGCCUCAUUGUCGACAGUGUGCAUCAGUUAGUUAUGACCUCAUCUCUUCAGUGAGAUUUUUUCCUCCAUGAAGGUUCCUCCUUACAUUGGGUUUAUUAUCCUAUUACGCGUGCUUGAUUCUACUUGAUAUUUUUGCCAUGGUGGAUUUCCGUAUUGUUCUGCAGGAUAUCCCUGACGAUCACAGGGAACGGUCCAACCAAAAGAAAAUAGUUGUAUCAAGUAAGCGCAAUAAUUUGUUGAUCUUUGCAAGUAAAGAGGAAGAAAUCAUGUUCCUUACUUUGGUGUGUGUGACAUGAAACAUCAUUUCCUAAGUAAACAAAUUAUUUGCUUGCCAUUGAAAACAAAAAUUUGAGCAAAUAUAUAUUUUAUUGUUCAUGAUCUUUCUUUUUUGUCUGUAUCGAAGUUCAUGCUCACUCAAUAUAUAUAAUGUUGUGAUCGUGUCUGAUUUGUGCAUACUUAAUUUUUUUCUUCAGUUCUGCCUUAUUGAUAAAGAAUGCAUCAUCAUAGUAGUUUUUAUUUAAAAUCUGUAUGGGUUGGUGCAUCUGCAUUCAUAGAAUGAUCUUUUCUUUAAUAUAGCAAGACUGAAUAAAAUUAGAUUGUGCGUGAAGUUUAUUAGAGAUAAUGCACCAUGUAUGACUUCAUAAAUAAAGCCAUCAUGUGCAAGAUCAAGUCACACUGAAGUUAAGUUAAAAGGUUACAAAACAAAGCGGUCUGAUAUGGAAUAUACACUAUUUUCAUUUUGAUUAACAUGAAGUCUGCCAUUAACGUACUUUGUUCUUAACAUUUUUUUACCGAAUGCAUGGGAAUGUCACCAAUAUUUUUUCUGAAGCAGUAUCACCCCUUAUAAUUAUCUUUACCGUUUGUCCUUUGAAUUGCAGCCUGCAUUUUUGCAGCCUGCGAAGCGUAAAUGUUGGACUAUUGUUUCUCCCCUGAUGCACAUGUUUCGCCACACAGACGAUAUAGUGUGUGUGUGUGAUCUCUGGAAUUAGUUUUUAGGUUAUUCUGUGUGUUGAGUACUUCUGUAAUUUUCCAUGGGCGUGUUUCAUAUUUUCUGUGUAUUGUCUAUCAUUCUUUCAAGUGUUUAAUGUUUUUUUUGUAGUUUUUGAUAUUUAGUUUCAGUCAUGUUUCAUUUGUCGCAGACCUACACCUAUUAGGAAGCACAUAGUUUCAUUUUGAUCAUGUUUCUUUUAGUUGUUCAGUGUUUGUUAAUUAAUGUAGCAGAGUAAGCAGUACAUUUUGGCCAUUAGUUAAAUCACUCAUGUCACAUUCAGUUGAUUAGGUUCAGUUUUUGUUCCUUCCUUCUUCGUUCCUUCAGUUUUUUGUUC
Molecule: long non-coding RNA, 1686 nt
Filed under: Triticum aestivum (bread wheat)
Lineage: Eukaryota; Viridiplantae; Streptophyta; Magnoliopsida; Poales; Poaceae
Description: long non-coding RNA (TAES_LNC008581)
Source: RNAcentral